Molecule: ribosomal RNA, 537 nt
Filed under: uncultured bacterium
Lineage: Bacteria
Description: bacterial SSU rRNA
Rfam family: Bacterial small subunit ribosomal RNA
Source: RNAcentral
AAGACUGACCAGCCAUGCCGCGUGCAGGAUGACGGCCCUCUGGGUUGUAAACUGCUUUUAUCUGGGAAGAAAAAGUCCAUGCGUGGAAAAUUGCCGGUACCAGAUGAAUAAGCACCGGCUAACUCCGUGCCAGCAGCCGCGGUAAUACGGAGGGUGCAAGCGUUGUCCGGAUUUAUUGGGUUUAAAGGGUGCGUAGGCGGCUGAAUAAGUCAGCGGUGAAAGACUUCGGCUUAACCGGAGCAGUGCCGUUGAUACUGUUUAGCUUGAGUGUUGGAGGGGUACAUGGAAUUGAUGGUGUAGCGGUGAAAUGCAUAGAUACCAUCAGGAACACCGAUAGCGAAGGCAUUGUACUGGCCAACAACUGACGCUGAGGCACGAAAGUGUGGGGAUCGAACAGGAUUAGAUACCCUGGUAGUCCACACUGUAAACGAUGAUUACUCGCUGUUAUGGUGAAUGCUGUAGCGGCCAAGCGAAAGCGUUAAGUAAUCCACCUGGGGAGUACGCCGGCAACGGUGAAACUCAAAGGGAAUUGACGGA